Molecule: non-coding RNA, 44 nt
Organism: Schistosoma curassoni
Lineage: Eukaryota; Metazoa; Platyhelminthes; Trematoda; Strigeidida; Schistosomatidae
Source: Rfam
AUCAGCUGACGAGUCCCAAACAGGACGAAACGCGCGUCCUGGAU